GCCUGGGUGGCUCAGUCAGUUGAGCAGCUGACUUCAGCUCAGGUCAUGAUCUCGUGGUUUGUGGGUUCAAGCCCCAUGCCGGACU
Molecule: transfer RNA, 85 nt
Organism: Felis catus (domestic cat)
Lineage: Eukaryota; Metazoa; Chordata; Mammalia; Carnivora; Felidae
Rfam family: tRNA
About the family: Transfer RNA (tRNA) molecules are approximately 80 nucleotides in length. Their secondary structure includes four short double-helical elements and three loops (D, anti-codon, and T loops). Further hydrogen bonds mediate the characteristic L-shaped molecular structure. tRNAs have two regions of fundamental functional importance: the anti-codon, which is responsible for specific mRNA codon recognition, and the 3' end, to which the tRNAs corresponding amino acid is attached (by aminoacyl-tRNA synthetases). tRNAs cope with the degeneracy of the genetic code in two manners: having more than one tRNA (with a specific anti-codon) for a particular amino acid; and 'wobble' base-pairing, i.e. permitting non-standard base-pairing at the 3rd anti-codon position.
Source: Rfam